This 253-nucleotide ribosomal RNA is filed under the name uncultured bacterium. Its description in RNAcentral is "partial 16S ribosomal RNA". It matches the Rfam family "Bacterial small subunit ribosomal RNA", at positions 524 to 776 of the family's 1533-position model. The record is from RNAcentral.
GACGUAGGGCGCGAGCGUUGUCCGGAUCUAUUGGGCGUAAAGAGCUCGUAGGCGGACUGUCACGUCUGCUGUGAAAAGCUGGGGCUUAACCCUGGCCUUGCAGUGGAUACGGGCAGACUAGAGGUAGGUAGGGGAGAAUGGAAUUCCCGGUGUAGCGGUGAAAUGCGCAGAUAUCGGGAGGAACACCGGUGGCGAAGGCGGUUCUCUGGGCCUUACCUGACGCUGAGGAGCGAAAGCGUGGGGAGCGAACAGG